UGGGGAAUAUUGCACAAUGGAGGGAACUCUGAUGCAGCGACGCCGCGUGAGUGAUGAAGGAAUUCGUUUCGUAAAACUCUGUUCUAUGGGAAGAAAAGGACUGUACCAUAGGAGAAAGCUCCGGCUAAAUACGUGCCAGCAGCCGCGGUAAUACGUAUGGAGCGAGCGUUGUCCGGAAUUAUUGGGCGUAAAGGGUGCGCAGGCGGCUUUACAAGUUGGAUGUGAAAUAUUGUGGCUCAACCACAAACGUGCAUCCAAAACUGCAAAGCUUGAGUUAAGGAGAGGUAAGUGGAAUUCCUGGUGUAGCGGUGGAAUGCGUAGAUAUCAGGAGGAAUACCGGUGGCGAAGGCGACUUACUGGACUUAAACUGAAGCUCAGGCACGAAAGCGUGGGGAGCAAACAGG
This 404-nucleotide ribosomal RNA is filed under the name Fusobacteriota bacterium. RNAcentral describes it as "Fusobacteria bacterium partial 16S ribosomal RNA". It matches the Rfam family "Bacterial small subunit ribosomal RNA", at positions 355 to 776 of the family's 1533-position model. The record is from RNAcentral. Lineage: Bacteria; Fusobacteriati; Fusobacteriota.